This 253-nucleotide ribosomal RNA is filed under the name uncultured bacterium. Its description in RNAcentral is "partial 16S ribosomal RNA". It matches the Rfam family "Bacterial small subunit ribosomal RNA", at positions 524 to 776 of the family's 1533-position model. The record is from RNAcentral.
UACGUAGGGUGCGAGCGUUAAUCGGAAUUACUGGGCGUAAAGCGUGCGCAGGCGGCGCGUUAAGACAGGUGUGAAAGCCCCGAGCUUAACUUGGGAAUUGCGCUUGUGACUGGCGAGCUGGAGUGUGGCAGAGGGAGGUGGAAUUCCGCGUGUAGCAGUGAAAUGCGUAGAGAUGCGGAGGAACACCGAUGGCGAAGGCAGCCCCCUGGGCCGACACUGACGCUGAGGAGCGAAAGCGUGGGGAGCGAACAGG